CGGAUGAGUGGAGCUUGCUCCAUGAUUCAGCGGCGGACGGGUGAGUAAUGCCUAGGAAUCUGCCUGGUAGUGGGGGACAACGUUUCGAAAGGAACGCUAAUACCGCAUACGUCCUACGGGAGAAAGUGGGGGAUCUUCGGACCUCACGCUAUCAGAUGAGCCUAGGUCGGAUUAGCUAGUUGGUGAGGUAAAGGCUCACCAAGGCGACGAUCCGUAACUGGUCUGAGAGGAUGAUCAGUCACACUGGAACUGAGACACGGUCCAGACUCCUACGGGAGGCAGCAGUGGGGAAUAUUGGACAAUGGGCGAAAGCCUGAUCCAGCCAUGCCGCGUGUGUGAAGAAGGUCUUCGGAUUGUAAAGCACUUUAAGUUGGGAGGAAGGGCAGUAAGUUAAUACCUUGCUGUUUUGACGUUACCAACAGAAUAAGCACCGGCUAACUUCGUGCCAGCAGCCGCGGUAAUACGAAGGGUGCAAGCGUUAAUCGGAAUUACUGGGCGUAAAGCGCGCGUAGGUGGUUCGUUAAGUUGGAUGUGAAAGCCCCGGGCUCAACCUGGGAACUGCAUCCAAAACUGGCGAGCUAGAGUAUGGCAGAGGGUGGUGGAAUUUCCUGUGUAGCGGUGAAAUGCGUAGAUAUAGGAAGGAACACCAGUGGCGAAGGCGACCACCUGGGCUAAUACUGACACUGAGGUGCGAAAGCGUGGGGAGCAACAGGAUUAGAUACCCUGGUAGUCCACGCCGUAAACGAUGUCGACUAGCCGUUGGGAUCCUUGAG
RNAcentral lists this ribosomal RNA (773 nucleotides) under Pseudomonas sp. 122-MA1-2. RNAcentral describes it as "bacterial SSU rRNA". It matches the Rfam family "Bacterial small subunit ribosomal RNA", at positions 67 to 836 of the family's 1533-position model. The record is from RNAcentral. Lineage: Bacteria; Pseudomonadati; Pseudomonadota; Gammaproteobacteria; Pseudomonadales; Pseudomonadaceae.